CAAAACUCGGUCUCAGUUCAGAUUGCAGGCUGCAACUCGCCUGCAUGAAGUUGGAAUUNCUAGUAAUCGCGAAUCAGAAUGUCGCGGUGAAUACGUUCCCGGGCCUUGUACACACCGCCCGUCACACCAUGAGAGCCGGGAACACCCGAAGUCCGUAGUCUAACCAUUAAGGAGGACGCGGCCGAAGGUGGGUUUGGUAAUUGGGGUGAAGUCGUAACAAGGUAAC
Molecule: ribosomal RNA, 226 nt
Filed under: uncultured bacterium
Lineage: Bacteria
Description: partial 16S ribosomal RNA
Rfam family: Bacterial small subunit ribosomal RNA
Source: RNAcentral